GUGGAUUAGAUACCCUGGUAGUCCACGCCGUAAACGGUGGGCACUAGAUGUGGAGACCUUUCCAUGGUUUCUGCGUCGCAGCUAACGCAUUAAGUGCCCCGCCUGGGGAGUACGGCCGCAAGGCUAAAACUCAAAGGAAUUGACGGGGGCCCGCACAAGCAGCGGAGCAUGCGGCUUAAUUCGAUGCAACGCGAAGAACCUUACCUAGGCUUGACAUAUAGAGAAAUCUCUUAGAGAUAAGAGGUCCGAAAGGGCUCUAUACAGGUGGUGCAUGGCUGUCGUCAACU
Molecule: ribosomal RNA, 287 nt
Filed under: uncultured bacterium
Lineage: Bacteria
Description: partial 16S ribosomal RNA
Rfam family: Bacterial small subunit ribosomal RNA
Source: RNAcentral